This 67-nucleotide transfer RNA is filed under the name Marmota monax (woodchuck). RNAcentral describes it as "tRNA.Ala". It matches the Rfam family "tRNA". From Rfam's summary of the family: Transfer RNA (tRNA) molecules are approximately 80 nucleotides in length. Their secondary structure includes four short double-helical elements and three loops (D, anti-codon, and T loops). The record is from RNAcentral. Lineage: Eukaryota; Metazoa; Chordata; Mammalia; Rodentia; Sciuridae.
GGUAUAGCUCAGUUGGUAGAGUGCUUGCUUUGCAUGCACAAGGUCCUGGGUUCAAUCCCUAGCACCA